RNAcentral lists this ribosomal RNA (253 nucleotides) under uncultured bacterium. RNAcentral describes it as "partial 16S ribosomal RNA". It matches the Rfam family "Bacterial small subunit ribosomal RNA", at positions 524 to 776 of the family's 1533-position model. The record is from RNAcentral.
UACGUAGGGUCCAAGCGUUAUCCGGAAUCACUGGGCGUAAAGCGUGUGUAGGUGGGUGUUUAAGUGAAAUGCGAAAUCUCGUGGCUCAACCAUGUAGACUGUAUUUCAUACUGGAUACCUUGAGGAUGGCAGAGGCAAGUGAAUUGAUAGUGUAGCAGUGAAAUGCGUAGAUAUUAUCAGGAACACCAAUGGCGAAGGCAGCUUGCUGGGCCAUAUCUGACACUGAGACACGAAAGCGUGGGGAGCGAACAGG